This 253-nucleotide ribosomal RNA is filed under the name uncultured bacterium. RNAcentral describes it as "partial 16S ribosomal RNA". It matches the Rfam family "Bacterial small subunit ribosomal RNA", at positions 524 to 776 of the family's 1533-position model. The record is from RNAcentral.
UACAGAGGUCUCAAGCGUUGUUCGGAUUUACUGGGCGUAAAGGGUGCGUAGGCGGCGGCGUAAGUCGAGUGUGAAAUCUUCCGGCCUAACCGGAAAACUGCACUCGAUACUGCGUCGCUCGAGGACUGUAGAGGAGACUGGAAUUCACGGUGUAGCAGUGAAAUGCGUAGAUAUCGUGAGGAAGACCGGUGGCGAAAGCGAGUCUCUGGGCAGUUCCUGACGCUGAGGCACGAAGGCUAGGGGAGCAAACGGG